GGUGGUUCUCAGGUGAUGUCCCCUGGAAUAGGGCCCCUCCUCUCUGAUUCCGGGUCUGUCACCCGUGAACUGCA
Molecule: non-coding RNA, 74 nt
Organism: Myotis davidii
Lineage: Eukaryota; Metazoa; Chordata; Mammalia; Chiroptera; Vespertilionidae
Source: Rfam